AACGAACGCUGGCGGCGUGCUUAACACAUGCAAGUCGAACGCGAAAGGGACUUCGGUCCUGAGUAAAGUGGCGCACGGGUGAGUAACGCGUAGAUAACCUGUCUUCAUGUCUGGAAUAAUACGCCGAAAGGGGUACUAAUACCGGAUAUUCUUGCUUUUCAUAAGUUAUGCAAGCAAAGGUGGCCUCUGCAUAUGCUACUGCAUGAAGAGGGGUCUGCGUACCAUUAGCUAGUAGGUGGGGUAAUGGCCUACCUAGGCGACGAUGGUUAGCGGGUCUGAGAGGAUGAUCCGCCACACUGGCACUGGAACACGGGCCAGACUCCUACGGGAGGCAGCAGUGAGGAAUAUUGCGCAAUGGGGGAAACCCUGACGCAGCGACGCCGCGUGAGUGAGGAAGGCCUUCGGGUCGUAAAGCCCUGUCAAGAGGAAAGAAGUGUACAAUGGCUAAUACCUGUUGUAUUUGACGGUACCUCUAAAGGAAGCACCGGCUAACUCCGUGCCAGCAGCCGC
Molecule: ribosomal RNA, 510 nt
Filed under: uncultured bacterium
Lineage: Bacteria
Description: bacterial SSU rRNA
Rfam family: Bacterial small subunit ribosomal RNA
Source: RNAcentral